GCCAUAAACCUCUUGAAUCUACUCGGCAGUCAACAGCACACCCAGUCUUUGAAGAUUUGGUUUGGGAAACCAUUGCUGUACCGUGAGGACUCUGCUGUAACCUAUAGUGGAACCAGGACUCUCUCCGUGCAUGAUGGAUGUGGAAGCUGUUACAAGCACACACUGUAUGUUCCACGUAGACUAGCCAAUCAGAACUCCUGGAGAGCCCUAAAGGAAUGCAGACUGUGGGACGGGGGAGGAGCCUGAGAAGGGUCCACCUUGUUCUCGAGUGUAUGUCAUAAAGAAUCUCAGUGGUGAUCCAGCAGUGACCCUAACAUGCAUGUCACCAUGUGAGCAAGGCCCUGUGAGAGGCCACCUGACAGGGCAUGUGCAUCACAAAAGAGUCUUGAGAAUGAUAACUUGACAGAGAAAUACAGAUGAUGGGACACGUUCUAAAAGCACAUCACCAAAAGCAGCAGAGGGAAACGGGGACAAUACGGCAUAGGAUUCUCAAGUCGGCACGGAAGCCGCCAUCUGCGGCAGCUUGCAGAACACUGGUUUGCUGUGAAAAUUGAGGCAGAUGAACUUCCAGUGAAUUACAGGACUAUCCAAUGGAAGAUUUCACAGUAUUUAUGGUAUGAGAUGAAUAAAAAGGGAGCUAGGUUGA
Molecule: long non-coding RNA, 646 nt
Organism: Mastomys coucha (southern multimammate mouse)
Lineage: Eukaryota; Metazoa; Chordata; Mammalia; Rodentia; Muridae
Exons: 2
Source: RefSeq, a predicted model, not a curated record